RNAcentral lists this antisense RNA (937 nucleotides) under Pongo abelii (Sumatran orangutan). The stretch from base 248 to 445 matches the Rfam family "ZNFX1 antisense RNA 1 conserved region 1". The record is from RNAcentral. Lineage: Eukaryota; Metazoa; Chordata; Mammalia; Primates; Hominidae.
CGGGGGCCCAGAGUGGAGAGCGCGAGGGCCUGGCCCAGGCACGGCCGGCGCCUCAGCCCUCGAGGAGGGCGUCACCUCAGCUCCCCCCGGCGGCGGAGCCGGUGGGCUCAGGCGGGCGCGGCUGAGGGGAGCGGACCGCGUGGGGCGGGAUGACUGCGCCCAAGGCCUUUGCGGGCCUCAGCCGGCCCCAGAGGAAGGGGGACCCGUCGAGCGGUUCGGUGCGUGUGAAGCGCGACAUGGCGGGGAAGCGGACAAGGCCGGGUGGCCUGGCGUCUACAGGGAAGGGGGCGGGACUAGACGCGGCCUUGACAACUAGUAGAGCGCCUCGGGCUGUGCGGCUCGAGACUACAUUUCCCAGGGGGCCCCGCGCGGAGCGGGCGGAAAAGAGAGCGUUUCGGGUCCAGUGCGCAGGUGCGAAAGCCAUCUUUGGUUAUAUAAGGGAGGUUCAGGAGGCCAUUCGUUCUUUCGCGUCCGCGGCGCUGUGAGUGUGGUGGUUCCGCAGGUUGCAGUCAGGCUUCGUACGCUAUUGUCCUUCCCGUUAGAGCAGCCAGCGGGUACAGAAUGGAUUUUGGAGGAGGGAGUCACCACUGGACCUCCAAGGAAGCCACGUGCAGACAUCUACAACCUUCGAUCUCUUGACGAGUUUAUUGUUGGCUAAAACCAACCAGGAUGAAUGCGGGCGUUGGAAGUAGAAUAUAUACAUAUACAUAUAAAAUUGAAACUGGCGAUGGUAUAUGAGAGGAGCCCUCUGGAAAGAAAAGGACAGACCCUGUGCUUUCAUGAAAGUGAAGAUCUGGCUGAACCAGUUCCACAAGGUUACUGUAUACAUAGCCUGAGUUUAAAAGGCUGUGCCCAUUUGAAGAAUGUCAUUGUUAGACUUUGGUGAAAUUUCUAACUGCCUACCUGGAUAAAGAAAAUAAAAUCUUUUAAAUCAAAA